RNAcentral lists this ribosomal RNA (517 nucleotides) under uncultured bacterium. RNAcentral describes it as "bacterial SSU rRNA". It matches the Rfam family "Bacterial small subunit ribosomal RNA", at positions 992 to 1509 of the family's 1533-position model. The record is from RNAcentral.
AGAACUUUCCAGAGAUGGAUUGGUGCCUUCGGGAACUCUGAGACAGGUGCUGCAUGGCUGUCGUCAGCUCGUGUUGUGAAAUGUUGGGUUAAGUCCCGCAACGAGCGCAACCCUUAUCCUUUGUUGCCAGCGGUCCGGCUGGGAACUCAAAGGAGACUGCCAGUGAUAAACUGGAGGAAGGUGGGGAUGACGUCAAGUCAUCAUGGCCCUUACGAGUAGGGCUACACACGUGCUACAAUGGCGCAUACAAAGAGAAGCGACCUCGCGAGAGCAAGCGGACCUCAUAAAGUGCGUCGUAGUCCGGAUUGGAGUCUGCAACUCGACUCCAUGAAGUCGGAAUCGCUAGUAAUCGUGGAUCAGAAUGCCACGGUGAAUACGUUCCCGGGCCUUGUACACACCGCCCGUCACACCAUGGGAGUGGGUUGCAAAAGAAGUAGGUAGCUUAACCUUCGGGAGGGCGCUUACCACUUUGUGAUUCAUGACUGGGGUGAAGUCGUAACAAGGUAGGCGUAGUGCU